RNAcentral lists this ribosomal RNA (233 nucleotides) under uncultured bacterium. RNAcentral describes it as "partial 16S ribosomal RNA". It matches the Rfam family "Bacterial small subunit ribosomal RNA", at positions 794 to 1027 of the family's 1533-position model. The record is from RNAcentral.
UCCACGCCGUAAACGAUGUCAACUAGCCGUUGGGAGCUUGAGCUUUCAGUGGUGCAGCUAACGCGUGAAGUUGACCGCCUGGGGAGUACGGCCGCAAGGCUAAAACUCAAAUGAAUUGACGGGGGCCCGCACAAGCGGUGGAGCAUGUGGUUUAAUUCGAUGCAACGCGAAGAACCUUACCUACCCUUGACAUUGACAGAAUCCAGUAGAGAUACAGGAGUGCCUUCGGGCCU